UGUCAUAGCUCAGUUGGUAGAGCAAAGGACUGAAAAUCCUUGUGUCCCCGGUUCGAUUCCUGGUGGCAC
This 69-nucleotide transfer RNA is filed under the name Bacteroides togonis. It matches the Rfam family "tRNA". From Rfam's summary of the family: Transfer RNA (tRNA) molecules are approximately 80 nucleotides in length. Lineage: Bacteria; Pseudomonadati; Bacteroidota; Bacteroidia; Bacteroidales; Bacteroidaceae. RNAcentral also lists the same sequence under 3 other names. The record is from RNAcentral.